Long non-coding RNA from Athene cunicularia (burrowing owl), 114 nucleotides. RefSeq lists it as uncharacterized. The transcript is spliced from 3 exons. Lineage: Eukaryota; Metazoa; Chordata; Aves; Strigiformes; Strigidae. The record is from RefSeq and is a predicted model, not a curated record.
CGCAAAUCUGCAUCUUCGUCCAGGACUUCGUGCACAAAGAUUAUGGGGUUACCAGUAUUCUUUUUCUUGUUGCCGAAUUUUAGGGUUUGUCGGUAUAGGGGUGAUGUGAUAACA